AGAGGACGAGCAGAGGAUGGGAGCUCAGCUUUGUGCCCAGAGGAGGCUUUGAAGAACUGGGCGUGGUGGAGGCAGCAGCAGCACUGCAGAGGCACCAAGUCAGGAAACCAUGGAGCAUGCGUGGGAGAGGAGCUAAAGAUAAGGCACUUGCUGAAUGCUGAAUAAACCACAUGUCCUAAUUGAAGGCCCGCAGAGUCCAUUGGGAAGGUUCUAGUUCAUGCAACAGAGGAUAGAUCCAUUGUACGGUACUUUCCAGUUAUAAAAGCAGAAAAAUCCUGGAUAAGUGAAACCAAAAUAAAGUCUUUUCAGACACAACUGAACUUAGUAGAAAGGAAGAAAAAUCCCCAUAUUCUAGAAAUGAAAAGGAAACGUAAAGCUAGAAAAGGAAGCUUGUGGUCAGAUGCUUUGGCCAGCAGAGGGGCAGAAUCAUCUGGACAGAGAGGCUCAUGGCUUGGGGCUGGGGACCAAAUGCCCUUGCUGGGACGGAAGGUGGGGUCGAGGACCUGCAGAAGGCUGGAGCUGUACUGAGAUAUUCUAUUCAGAGCUGGAACUCUGAAAGGGACAUCCUUCCACGAAGCGAAGCUCAGAACAGAAGCAAUGAUGAAGCCACUGUCAGCCUGGAGUGUGGCGUGUGCGCACUAUCAAAGCGUCAGGUGUGGGUCAGGUACAGAGGUGGUAGGGAGCACGAGCGUAUAUUCCCACAAGGUUUGGAAAUCCCCAGAAAAGAGCAUGAAAUGGGACUUAGGCAGGUGCCCUGCAAAAGCAAAGGCUAAGCCACUCUUUGUGGAACUUUCCACAGUCCAGGAUGCACAGAGCACCCAGAGAUAAAUAACUCCACUGGAACAUGAACUUUAAAAUAAGAAUAACAAACUACACAAGAAGCUAUCAACUGUGAGAAAGACUCAGCAGACACGACACACAUGAAAAUAGCACAUAGGAACUCAAGAUUAUCUAUCUGAAAGAAAAGUAAGUGUGCUCUAAUACUUUAAAGGGAAGAGAUAAAACGACUAGAAAUGCAAAUGGAAUAAUAGAGCCUGUGUGGAAAAACAAAACAAAUAAGAGAAAAUCAAGCAACUUGCAUUCCCAGAAGAAAAAAAUUGAGUAACUGACAUAAACAAAAAGAUAAUGUACCAACAGAUGGGACUUAACUGAAGACAAUUGAUUGCUUGAGUGAUCAAACUGAAGAAACUGGAGAUAGAAAAUGCAAACCAAAGUUUUGGAAAUAUUGAGAAAAGAAUAAGAAGCUCCUAACAGGGCAGGGUGUAGUGGCUCUUGCCUGUAUUCACAGCACUCUGGGAAGCUGAGGUGGGAGGACUGUUUGAGCCUAGGAGCUCGAGAC
RNAcentral lists this long non-coding RNA (1339 nucleotides) under Homo sapiens (human). Its description in RNAcentral is "HSALNT0162011". Lineage: Eukaryota; Metazoa; Chordata; Mammalia; Primates; Hominidae. The record is from RNAcentral.